RNAcentral lists this ribosomal RNA (255 nucleotides) under uncultured bacterium. RNAcentral describes it as "partial 16S ribosomal RNA". It matches the Rfam family "Bacterial small subunit ribosomal RNA", at positions 524 to 776 of the family's 1533-position model. The record is from RNAcentral.
UACGAAGGGGGGCUAGCGUUGUUCGGAAUUACUGGGCGUAAAGCGCACGUAGGCGGACUUUUAAGUCAGGGGUGAAAUCCCGGGGCUCAACCUCGGAACUGCCUUUGAUACUGGAAGUCUUGAGUAUGGAAGAGGUAAGUGGAAUUGCGAGUGUAGAGGUGAAAUUCGUAGAUAUUCGCAGGAACACCAGUGGCGAAGGCGGCUUACUGGUCCAUUACUGACGCUGAGGUGCGAAAGCGUGGGGGAGCAAACAGG